Molecule: unclassified non-coding RNA, 657 nt
Filed under: Hevea brasiliensis (rubber tree)
Lineage: Eukaryota; Viridiplantae; Streptophyta; Magnoliopsida; Malpighiales; Euphorbiaceae
Source: RNAcentral
GAUUGGGAAUCAUAGAAGCACGUCAGGACACCCUCACAGAACUUCGUCGGAGCCACAAUUCAUAAAUAACCAUGUAGAAAGCAUCAUAAUCAACUGGGGGAACAUGCCAUUGGAAAUGUUUUCGCACCUGCAACACAUUAUUUUGUAACAUCCGAUAUUUGUUAGAGCUUAUUGCUUUAAGGAUUUUCUUAAGCAGUGGAAUGUCUAAAGUGGCAACAACAACUGAAAAGCUCUUCCAAUUUAGAACGUCUGUAAAUGGAAGGUCAUAAUGGUUGGCGAUAAUAACUGGGACGCAUCCGUAAUGUAGCGAAUCCGCGAUGCGAGCUGUGUUUACUUCAAAGCCUUUGACGUGGAGGCAGAACUUACUCCCCAGUAGCUUGUCAGCAUAAGGUGUUGUGAGCCGGCCAAAAUGGACAGAAAUCUCAGAGUCAUUUCUCCAAACUUGAAGAAGCCUUUCACGGACAGGUGAGUUGAUUGAUCCAGCAAAGAAUGCAAGCUUCUUCCUUUUUGAUGAAGUAAGGUUAGGAGGAUCUUCUUGCCUAGGCCAAACUUGUGGCAGAGAUGCAUCCUUGUGAGCGAUGUGACCAGAAAGGAAAUAGCUUGAAGAGCAGACAACUUGAAUGGCAUUAAAUUUCACAUCCUCUGCUUUCUUCAUUG